This is a long non-coding RNA of Amphiprion ocellaris (clown anemonefish), 873 nucleotides long. RefSeq lists it as uncharacterized. The record is from RefSeq and is a predicted model, not a curated record. NCBI's taxonomy places the organism in Eukaryota, Metazoa, Chordata, Actinopteri, Pomacentridae. The transcript is spliced from 2 exons.
GAUUUCAUCUAAGAUGCAAGUACUAAUUGCUAACUGCUCAUUGCUAAUACUAACAAGAAAAAAGAAACAAACAAAAAAAACAAACAAACAAAAAACAUCAAAGACACCGGUACUACUUUACACUGCAGCCUUACCUGAGAUGGCCGCAUGGUCCCAAAGAGAUUCUAACAGGCCACUCCCCCACCUUAUCUACACUUCCUCUUCCUGGAUCUCUGCCCAUUGGGGGAGGGAAAAGAGGGCGUGGAAAGCAGAGUGAAGGAGAGAGCUUGUCCUUCCCCUCACCGCCCCUAUUUUACCCCCUAGCUAUUAUUAAGCCGAGAUUCCACAAGCAUCUACUCGGCGCGGUGCGGCUCGUCUCGGUUUAGUUGUUUUUCCAUAUCGCCUCAUCGUGGGUGGAGUCGUCAUAGCACGGCGAGCCUAAAGUCCCUUAACGUCAUUUGUGUGCGACACAAACGCAACAUAGCGGAGGCGAUGGUUCACGUGCUGCUCAGUCUGUGGCUUUCUGUCAGAUUCAAAGUAAUAGAAGAGUCGGAGAAAACUGAGAGCGGCGAGUCGAAACACUCAGGAGACACUCAGGAGAGUUUGGGAGGCGAUGCAGCAGUAUCAAGCCGAAGACAAGAGGAUAUGAACUAGACGACAUAUAAGGAUGGCUGUCUUGUGAGACUUCAUGGGAUUUACCUGAAGCAGCAACACAUGAGCCUGUAGUGGCACAAGGUGUAGAGGAGGAGAACAGAGAUGUACAGGAUGCACUGAUGCACUACGUGUCAUGCAAAAGUUAAGUUAUUCUUCUCGAUAUACUUCUGUUUUUCUGUCCCCGGACCGCUAUUGUUUUCUUUAAUGCAAUUCUGACAAUAAACUUUUGUACCUUUUGCA